ACCUAAAAGGUCAUAUAACUAUUGAUAAAUAAGAAUGAAAGAGAAAAAAAAAAACCCUGAUGAUCAAAGGGAGGGAACAGAUUCACAGAUUACGGCAGAGAUCAGAGAUCCCAUGAGGAAGCCGUUAUUAUUCAUUCAUGCUAACAAGGAAUCUGAUGCUCCGAGUGUUUAAGUGACCUGUCUGAGGUUAAUACAUGAGCAAAACAAGUACAAAGCAGAACAUGAUGAAAGUGAAAAGGAAGUGGAAAAAGGAGCUUUUGAUGAGCAAAUCGAGAAGUCCAAAUGGAUAUUGAGCAAUCCAGACUGGCUGCCAUGGUUUCCUGUGACACAUGAAUUGAGCUGGUUGUUCAGAUACACAGAAAAGAGAGAUCCUAGGAAAUAAAAGGCUCUCCAAUUUCUCUGCACCCCAGCAUGCUGCAAAAACCUCUGCGUGGAGUGUGUAGGCAAAUGGGCUUGAAGCAGCCUUCUAGAAUCUCCAUGUGCCUCUGCAGAGCGUAGGGAACAGCAGAAAUAUUUCUGAGUGGCAGAGAGCAGUAUGGCCAUGGCAAAGAGAUGAAAAGAAACUGCAAAUGUUUUGUUUUCAAGAGAAGGAGGCUGUGACAGUGAUGUGCAUGAACUGAAGACGGAUUACCUGGGAACACAAACACCUCAGCUGAUUGCAAGAUGGUGGUGAUGGAAGUCAUGUAAUAAAAAGAUCUCUCACCAUAGUUCCUGGCAGCCAUAGUAGUUUCAACAUCAUUUCCUCCUGUGUAAUACCUACCAGAAUUCCAGAUAUCAGAAGUUUAAAUGUUACAGGAUUGUAACUGAAACUCUGAUAAGUGAGAUUUUCAACCAUUUUAAUCUUCUCACGAUGACUUUACAC
This is a long non-coding RNA of Lemur catta (Ring-tailed lemur), 862 nucleotides long. RefSeq lists it as uncharacterized. Lineage: Eukaryota; Metazoa; Chordata; Mammalia; Primates; Lemuridae. The record is from RefSeq and is a predicted model, not a curated record. The transcript is spliced from 5 exons.